AAACCGGUCAAACCGUACGGAUUUAAGAGAAAUGGGCGGGUUUAUAUGGGUGAACGGGUCACACGGUUCACUAAUGCAGGUUUGGUAGGGUUGGAUUGGGCGGGCCCGGUUCAAGAAAGACAAACCGUCGGUGUCCGACCCCACCCGUACUACUACUAGAGUCAAUAUAAUAAAAUUAUUUUGUCUCUCUCAAACCCUAACUCACUUCCCUGCACCCACAAAAUUUUCUUCCUCUCUCUUCCUAUAUCUCUCUUGUAUAACCUGCCGCUUUCACCGCCACCACAAAUAUUAAUCCACCAAAUCUCUCUACCAUUCUCACUCUCACUCUCACCAUCGUUGUCCCUCAAUAGUGACUUUUCUUCGCCGUCACCACAUCCCCUGGAAUCAACACUUUCACUGAUAUAAAGACCAUUCUUAAUACUGAACUUUGAUGAUAGAUCUGGUCUAUUGAAGCAUUUUUUUCUUAUACCAUUUACUUAAAGCUUGUAGCCCGAUGGUAUCAUAUCUGCAAGGUGGAUCUACAAGAUAAAUGGAUUUUGCUCCUCUAUUCGCUCAAUACUGCUUGCUUCCUGUGUUGGCUCAAGGGAACCCACAACUCUUUUUGAGAGGCAGUAUGCUCAUUUUGCUCAUCUUGAACCUGCCAAGGCAGCUCGGCAGCUCAUAGUUUAAAUGGGAAAUUGGAGAUUGUUGUCAUGAAUAUAAAGGUUGUUACAGAUCAUGUAGGAAGUUAAGAUACAACUGCAAAAUUCGCAAAUUUGAUGAUUAUGAAGGUGGAUUGAGCAUGUAAGGUGUGAACUCAGAAGAUGAACAAUUUAAUUGAAGGAAUUGGGAAGUUGAAUAUGAGCAGCAACCUGAAGCUGAAUAAUUAGAGUUUCUAAAUUUUUGUAGAUUUAUAAUAAAGCAUAGCAUAUAGAUGAAGACUGGUAAUUUAACAUCAUAAAAAUAUUAUAUUAUAUAUUUAACAACAGGGGGAGAAAAGUACUGGGAAUUUGUAACUAGUGUCCUUUCAAUAAAGGAAAUUUCAUUUAUGUUCAAUGUAAUAA
Vicia villosa (hairy vetch) is the source of this 1043-nucleotide long non-coding RNA. RefSeq lists it as uncharacterized. The record is from RefSeq and is a predicted model, not a curated record. NCBI's taxonomy places the organism in Eukaryota, Viridiplantae, Streptophyta, Magnoliopsida, Fabales, Fabaceae. The transcript has 6 exons.